AUUGAACGCUGGCGGCAUGCUUUACACAUGCAAGUCGAACGGCAGCGCGGGGCAACCUGGCGGCGAGUGGCGAACGGGUGAGUAAUAUAUCGGAACGUACCCAGAAGUGGGGGAUAACGUAGCGAAAGUUACGCUAAUACCGCAUACGAUCUACGGAUGAAAGUAGGGGACCGCAAGGCCUUAUGCUUUUGGAGCGGCCGAUAUCUGAUUAGCUAGUUGGUGAGGUAAAGGCUCACCAAGGCGACGAUCAGUAGCUGGUCUGAGAGGACGACCAGCCACACUGGAACUGAGACACGGUCCAGACUCCUACGGGAGGCAGCAGUGGGGAAUUUUGGACAAUGGGCGCAAGCCUGAUCCAGCAAUGCCGUGUGAGUGAAGAAGGCCUUCGGGUUGUAAAGCUCUUUUGUCAGGGAAGAAACGGUAGAGGCUAAUAUCCUUUGCUAAUGACGGUACCUGAAGAAUAAGCACCGGCUAACUACGUG
This 482-nucleotide ribosomal RNA is filed under the name uncultured bacterium. Its description in RNAcentral is "partial 16S ribosomal RNA". It matches the Rfam family "Bacterial small subunit ribosomal RNA", at positions 30 to 507 of the family's 1533-position model. The record is from RNAcentral.